RNAcentral lists this ribosomal RNA (253 nucleotides) under uncultured bacterium. RNAcentral describes it as "partial 16S ribosomal RNA". It matches the Rfam family "Bacterial small subunit ribosomal RNA", at positions 524 to 776 of the family's 1533-position model. The record is from RNAcentral.
UACGGAGGGGGCUAGCGUUGUUCGGAAUUACUGGGCGUAAAGCGCACGUAGGCGGAUCGGAAAGUCGGGGGUGAAAUCCCGGGGCUCAACCCCGGAACGGCCUCCGAAACUCCCGGUCUGGAGUCCGAGAGAGGUGAGUGGAAUUCCGAGUGUAGAGGUGAAAUUCGUAGAUAUUCGGAGGAACACCAGUGGCGAAGGCGGCUCACUGGCUCGGUACUGACGCUGAGGUGCGAAAGCGUGGGGAGCAAACAGG